UGUGGAAGCUGGGAUUCCAAUGGCAGGCAGGAAAUCUUGUAGUAGGUGAUCGUGGCCUUCCUUGGGAUCCCUGUUUCCCCCUUUUAUUCCCUUUUCACCCAGUAAAACCCUGCUUUGCUCACUCUUUAAAGCAUCUGUGAGCGUAAAUUUUUGUGGCCAUGGGAUGGACAAGAACCACAUGUUUACCUGAAGUCCUGUGACAUUUUGGUGUGCAGCAUGGGAGCUCCAAAAGUGGAUAAAGAAUGUUGCCAUUGAGAGGGCUCUAAUGGUGGAAUUACCUUCAACUAACAUUUACUGAGAGGAGGAGAGGCAACUGAGACAAGAAGUCAAGAGAUUUAAAGUCAGCAGUUCUCAAGGAAAAUGCUACCCUGGAAAGAAAAUAUAACCUUAAAGUCUGGCAACUGCUCUGGACUUUUUCCUGAGAUUUUCUUUCAAGGUAAGCCCAGUCUGUCUUAAUGCACAGUAACCUAUGCCUGGUGAUUUAAAGCUCUAAAAUUGACCUUUUAGCUUCCCAUUUCCAAAUUGUAAUGUAAUCUAUUUGAUACAAAAAAAUUAAGUUUUGAAUAAUUAAGUGGCCCAUUUACGAUACAAUAAAGUAUGGAUUGUCUUGUUGUUUUAUAUAUUUGUUUGUUUACUUGGAAAAAGUAAAGAAAACCAAAGAUAACACAUUAUUUCCUUGUAAAAAUAAUUUAAUUGGAAAAAGGCUAAUAGUUUUGCCAAAUUUGGGGUUGGAGAACUCAAUGUUUAAUCUAAUAUGCAGUAAAUUAGAAGAAUGGGAGCUAUAUCUUUUUUUUUUUUUUAUUUUAGGUUUAGUGCUCUACUGGUUUUAAGAAAUGAAUCAUUGAAUUUGUUUUAUGAAAAUUAUUACUUAAAAGUUUGAAAAU
Molecule: long non-coding RNA, 884 nt
Filed under: Homo sapiens (human)
Lineage: Eukaryota; Metazoa; Chordata; Mammalia; Primates; Hominidae
Description: HSALNT0337465
Source: RNAcentral